RNAcentral lists this transfer RNA (76 nucleotides) under Verrucomicrobiota bacterium JB022. RNAcentral's name for it is "tRNA-Thr". It matches the Rfam family "tRNA". From Rfam's summary of the family: Transfer RNA (tRNA) molecules are approximately 80 nucleotides in length. The record is from RNAcentral. Lineage: Bacteria; Pseudomonadati; Verrucomicrobiota.
GCCCCUGUAGCUCAGUCGGUAGAGCACUUCCUUGGUAAGGAAGAGGUCGGCGGUUCGAAUCCGCUCGGGGGCUCCA